UAAGGAAGGAAUUAAUUGGAGGACAAGCAAUUCAAAAGCCAAUCCUUCAGAUCAAAUCACACCAAAUUCCUCUCUCUUCUUUCUUCCUCGUUACCCCAUAUUCUCAUUCUUAACAAAAAAAACAUUUAAAAAAUCUAAAAUAAAAAAAAAAAAAUUAAAACUUUAUCAAAAUCAAAACUUUAAAGGCUUGAGAAUUGAAUCAAUCUCCUCUUAUAAACACAUAGUAUUAUUGUUCUCAAUUUGGUCAAAAAAAAAAAAAAAACAGUGGGAACAAAAAAGUAAAGGGCAAUAUAGAGGGGGCAUGUUGUACUGCCUCCUCUGUAGAUCUUGUUGAUUUUUUCAUUUGGGUAUUUUCAAAAGGCAGAAUCUUGAUUUGGGUAUUUCUUAUUUUCCUCAAAAGUCUUUUAAGUUUGAUGAAAUAUUUUCAUUGUUGGGUUGCUGUAUGCUUGAGCUUUUACCUUUGGAUUCUUGUUUGUUUGUUUCUUUAAGGAUCGGAUUCCUUUUGAUUGAAUCUGAUAAUAUUUUGAUCAGUUUCAGAUUCUUGUCUGUUUGUGAGGCUCUCUUAAUACUACUUCAUAGUAAAGGUACGACCUUUACUGCUUUGCUGCUCUUUAUUAAUAAUCUGCAUUUCAUUUCAUUAAUGCUGUAUUUUGGAUUUACCUUAAGC
Molecule: long non-coding RNA, 667 nt
Filed under: Nicotiana tabacum (common tobacco)
Lineage: Eukaryota; Viridiplantae; Streptophyta; Magnoliopsida; Solanales; Solanaceae
Description: long non-coding RNA (NTAB_LNC001101)
Source: RNAcentral